RNAcentral lists this ribosomal RNA (254 nucleotides) under uncultured bacterium. RNAcentral describes it as "partial 16S ribosomal RNA". It matches the Rfam family "Bacterial small subunit ribosomal RNA", at positions 524 to 776 of the family's 1533-position model. The record is from RNAcentral.
GACAGAGGGUGCAAACGUUGUUCGGAAUUACUGGGCGUAAAGCGCGUGUAGGCGGCUAAGUAAGUCGGGCGUGAAAUCCCACGGCUCAACCGUGGAAGUGCACUCGAAACUGCAUAGCUAGAGUCCUGGAGAGGAAGGUGGAAUGCUUGGUGUAGAGGUGAAAUUCGUAGAUAUCAAGCGGAACACCGGUGGCGAAGGCGGGUCUCUGGGCAGUAACUGACGCUGAGGAGCGAAAGCGUGGGGGAGCGAACAGG